AACGAACGCUGGCGGCAUGCCUAACACAUGCAAGUCGAACGAGACCUUCGGGUCUAGUGGCGCACGGGUGCGUAACGCGUGGGAACCUGCCCUUAGGUUCGGAAUAACUCCCCGAAAGGGGUGCUAAUACCGGAUAAUGUCUUCGGACCAAAGAUUUAUCGCCUUUGGAUGGGCCCGCGUUGGAUUAGCUAGUUGGUAGGGUAAAAGCCUACCAGGGCGACGAUCCAUAGCUGGUCUGAGAGGAUGAUCAGCCACACUGGGACUGAGACACGGCCCAGACUCCUACGGGAGGCAGCAGUGGGGAAUAUUGGACAAUGGGCGAAAGCCUGAUCCAGCAAUGCCGCGUGAGUGAUGAAGGCCUUAGGGUUGUAAAGCUCUUUUACCCGGGAUGAUAAUGACAGUACCGGGAGAAUAAGCUCCGGCCAACUCCGUG
Molecule: ribosomal RNA, 433 nt
Filed under: uncultured bacterium
Lineage: Bacteria
Description: partial 16S ribosomal RNA
Rfam family: Bacterial small subunit ribosomal RNA
Source: RNAcentral